GACACUUGCCUGGGAGCAGAAUGAAGGCGAUGGCGUGCUGUGCUGGACGAACGACGCUGCCUCCUCUUGCUCUGUUUUUUUCUUUGCUUUCUUUAUUUCCUGGUUUGCUUCUUUUCGUUCCCACCCUGUAUAACCUCUGUAUAUUCUCUCCUUCCUCCUCCUGUUCGUUCGUCUCCUCUCUGCUUCUAGUUUCGUUUUAGAGAUGAAGGAACGAAGAUGGUGAUGAUACCGGUUCCCUCUGUUUUUCCCCAGUUUUUCUUCAGUUUUUUUUCUCCCUGCGCUCUCUCAUCUUCUCUGGCUUUAUAGCCAGAGAAUGCCAAGUAUUUGAAACGGCUUCCAUCCUUUACUCCAGCAACGGCUCCUGAGGAGGAAGACGAAGAAGGCGAUUAACAAAUUCUAAAAACGGCGCCGUUUGUGUGAUGGGAAUAGCCAUUUUCAAUCUGGUCACUGAAGUUCUGAAAUCGUGUAAUCAAGUCCCUGGGUAAAUUGUAAUUGGACCCCUGUAUUUCCGUGCUUUUUACAAGCUAGUCCUUGGACUUUAAUCUGCUGCAAUUUUGCACCCAAUUAGCCCCAAACUUUGGUAUUUCUUCAA
This is a long non-coding RNA of Populus trichocarpa (black cottonwood), 592 nucleotides long. RefSeq lists it as uncharacterized. The transcript has 2 exons. The record is from RefSeq and is a predicted model, not a curated record. Lineage: Eukaryota; Viridiplantae; Streptophyta; Magnoliopsida; Malpighiales; Salicaceae.